UAUUACAUCAGAGGAUUUCACAGUGCGUUAUUGGAGCAGCCUUUUGGAGAUUGCCAACAUGUUGUGUAUUUUAAAUAUAAGUUGUAUUCUGUUCAAUGAGAAAAUUACGAAAAAGAUCCAACAACUUUUUGAGAAAAACAUCAACCGUACACCUCAAAGUAUAACUCCUAUUUCGGAAUAUGAAAAAAGGCACCUGGUUUGAAGUCCUCAAGGUCGAACAUAGGAACACAAAAAGUUGACAUCCACACCUCACACAUGUCACGUUUCACACCGGUUUCAAGGAUUUCCUGCAGAAUUCCCACCUAAUGUCCUCAACUGUCAGCCUAUUUUUGUGCUCAUAUUCCCUUAUCUGGGGGUCCGUUAUCUACGUGUAUAUAUGCCUGAGGACAAAGUAUAAAAAAACAACCCUAACUACUGCCAUUUCACUCAUACUUUCUCGGAGCUCUGAGUCCUUUUGCUGUCAUGUUUGUGUUCAAGUUCACUGUGGGUCUCCUGACUCUGAUGCUGGUGUCCUCUGCCUGGGUUGAGGAACUGACUGAG
This is a long non-coding RNA of Oncorhynchus nerka (sockeye salmon), 540 nucleotides long. RefSeq lists it as uncharacterized. Lineage: Eukaryota; Metazoa; Chordata; Actinopteri; Salmoniformes; Salmonidae. The record is from RefSeq and is a predicted model, not a curated record. The transcript is spliced from 2 exons.